Molecule: long non-coding RNA, 488 nt
Organism: Hyla sarda
Lineage: Eukaryota; Metazoa; Chordata; Amphibia; Anura; Hylidae
Exons: 4
Source: RefSeq, a predicted model, not a curated record
UUGUUUUAAGACCUCAUGGAGUUCUGCAAUGUCAUGGAAUGAGACUGCUGUCAAGGAUCUGAAGGCAAACUGCAGCCAUUUUGCUAAGAAUUUGCUUAUAACAGGUGCUGGCCUUACAUCUUCUGUGUAAGACUGACAUGAUCAUUUUAUUCUGCAAAUGCCUGGAAUAGAAGAGGGAACAUUCCAUGUACAGUCUGGUCAGGUUAUUGAGUUUAUGAACCUUGGCGUUCACCGGAAUGAUGACUGCAGAGUCUAUGGAUUAUACGUCUAAUGCUGAAUAUGAAUAGCUUUUCUACUUUAGAAAUGAGGAUUGAACCUGACUGCUGACCCACCGGCUAUUAAAUGACCUAAAGACUUUCCAAUUGCAAUUGCCUUCUCUGCUGCAGGCCCAGCUAGUAUCAUCCCAGCAUAACCUUCACAGUUGGAGUAUUAAUACCAAGAUUCUUAUGAUUAUUACUCUAGGUUAGUUCUGCAGUAUCAUGUGCAUG